RNAcentral lists this long non-coding RNA (219 nucleotides) under Lathyrus oleraceus (garden pea). RNAcentral describes it as "Pisum sativum (pea) long non-coding RNA (PSAT_LNC009060)". The record is from RNAcentral. Lineage: Eukaryota; Viridiplantae; Streptophyta; Magnoliopsida; Fabales; Fabaceae.
ACCAUUACAAAGCUACCUUCAAAAAUAGGUUCAAAUUUGACUCAAAAUUAACAACCAAAGAAAAAAUGGAAGCUCAACUGACCUAUAUAUAUGUGUCUACAAGUGUAUAGAAUAUUUGGUCAAAGCUCAAGUGGGAAAAUUAAAAAUCAAACCCUAACAAAAUAAACUAGACUAAAUAGACACAUAUUAUUAAAAAACAAAAUAAAUAUUAAAAUAAAU